This 5927-nucleotide long non-coding RNA is filed under the name Setaria viridis. RNAcentral describes it as "long non-coding RNA (SVIR_LNC011399)". The record is from RNAcentral. Lineage: Eukaryota; Viridiplantae; Streptophyta; Magnoliopsida; Poales; Poaceae.
GGAGGAAUGGACAGAGACAGGUUUAUCAACCCAUAUGGUGGGAGAGGCAACAUAUAUCAUCAGACUUCUGGUGAUCAAGAAGAAAAAUGGAAGCAUGACCUCUAUGAUCAGUCAAACAGGAGCCCACCUCCAAAGACCGAGGAAGAGCAGAUUGCUAAAGUUGAAGCGUUGUUGGCGCUGUAGUUAUCUUCUCUAUCCGUCUGGAGUUAUUUGUGAUGUUAGAUCAUCAUGUAUUUGGUUUCAUCUUUGUUGAACGCUGUCCUUUUAUUCUAUAUAUUUUGCGUAUCUAUGGGGAUUAGGACAUCGUUGAGCUAUUCCAUUUAGAGUGAAGGUAUUGUUCUAGACAAUCAUGAUUCACGAGUUUCGUACUGUGGGAACCAUGGAGCAAAGUACAAGAGUAAAGAAUAUGCUUCACGAAUGCUUUUGGAGCUGGAAUGCCUCUUUAGCGUGUUGACCUCGUGUUGAAGUUGUACUCGGACUGUGUGGGCAAAUUGCACACAGCCACGCGACACAAUCUAUUCUCGUUGGGGUUAUGGUAAGUACAUUGGUGUUGAUCUCAUGUAAUCUUGAGACAACUUAAUAAACAAUCUUGAGACAAUUUAAUAAAAAAUUUGUACAAGGGUUGCCUUUUUAAGUUGUCUCAUAAUAAUUCUAUUUUCUUAAUUUAUGCAUAGAAAAAAAGAAAUAUUAUGAGUUGUAUAAUAACCACAACUUGUACAGUGGUGGAGUAGUCGUCUCAUAGUCCUAAAGUCUAGCCUAUGAGAUGGUUGUUUCACAAAACAACAACAUCUUUCUCUCCUUUCCCUCUCUCAUCCAUAUUAGUAAAAAUCCUACAUGGCAUUGCACGAGACGACCUACAAAACUGCUGAGGUGUAGUAAUGUACUUGCUCUAAGCGUAAUGCCUCUUCACUGGGUAUUGCACCAUCCUCGAGGAACAUCCCAAUUCCCAAAAUUCCAAAGGCAUUAAGUCAAUUAAGGCAUAAUCUUUGAUUAAUAGCUUGAUUUGUGCUGUCAUAACCAUGUAAUGCAAGAAAACUCAUCUAUGAAUUGAGGACACUUAGUUGGUUAGGUUACUGUGGUGUAACCUUCGUCUUUGAAUUUGAUGAUUAUAUUUUCUUUAGAUUAAAUGAUUAUAUUUUCUUUAGAUUAAAUCCCCAGCUGCACUAAUGCGCAGGAACAUGGAUGCUUUUAGAAAAUUUUAUAGUUUUAUGUAAGGAACCCAAACUAUAUAUUCACGAUGAAAUGUUUCUUUCUCUUUAUAAACUCUAUGUUACGUCACCCAAAUAUUAGAUGUGGUGAUUUAUUUAAGAGAAUGUAUCCUUAUCAAUUGUUUGAGAGUUUUCCUUAAUCGUGGUUUUGUAACUGUUGGAUACCGAUCUACCUAUUCGUUUGCCUCUCCCAUUUCUUCUUCCUCCCUCAACCUUCCCCACGUGACCUUCUUCCGACGUUUAACCCUGACGUUGGGCGUGACGUCCUCGCCACAACCACCUCCCACCUGGCUCCAACGUCCAUGCUCCCUCCUCCACCGCCCUGCCACUAUCCAAUGCGAAUCUAUAAGAUCCAGAUGCUGCUGUUGCCUCCACCGUACGUUGGGGGGUCUUACCAUCCAGCCCCGGUGACGCCCUCGUUGUCUCUGUUCUACCGUCGCUCUCACACCUCCACCGCUAGUAGGCGAGCCGCCUGGAGCUCCUUUAUUCCCAAAGCCACAUGUGACCCAUCUCCACUCGCAAACCCUAACCCUGAAUCCUUCUCUCCAAUUCAGUACCACUAAAAAUUACGUUGACUAACGAGAAAACUCUUGUAUUGAAGAAAACUCGAUGACACAAGAGGCCCAUAAAUCCACACCUGCAUUGAAGAAAACUCUUGUAUUGGAGGAGAAAAGCAAUGACAUACAGUCAAAAACUCGUUCGAAGAGCUCAAUAGAUUCAUUGUCAGCACAUGACAUGUUGCUAUCAACUCUGCUCAAACCAUGCCUUGCAACACGACUAAGUGAUUUAAGUAGGUUCAGAGAUAUUGAAAUGGAUGGCUUCUUUUCAAUACAAACUCUCAAAAUUACCCAGCAUCUACUAUCCAAUGCCGGAUCAAAAGGCUGUGACAUCUUUUUACUAUUCUCAGGAAAAUUUAAGAUAGACUGCACCCAGUUUCCAAUAAAUGACACCAGACGUGAUAGCUGAAUGCUGUGCACCGUAUGGCCAUGGCUUGAGUUCUUUGACAGUGUGGUUAAAAAUUCAACUGCUAGCUCAAUCUUUCUGCACAAAUAAACAUGUCGUUACGAAGAUUCCAAACAAGAAGAUUAAAAUAAGGUAAAUCCAAACAUGAUUCAAACAAUUUAUCCCAUGAGUAAAAUAGCACCAAAAUGCUCACUUCCGUAUGAAUCAAAGAGAUCCCAUUGGGUAUUCAUGUACAUAAUAUGAGCUAAUUUGGCCAUCUUACUGCUUUUAAAAGCCCAGAAAGUACUAAGGGAAAGUACUAUUUGAAAUAAAUCGAUGUAAUUAUAGUGCAAAAUCGACAACUAUGAAGCCAAGCUAAAGCUGCCUACAACAAAACUGUAUCUCUCAAAAUCCUAUGUGCACUAAAUUAAGCAAAUCGCCUCGUGCAUUUAGUAAUGACAGUAAACAAGCAAUCCACAAUCCUCCACAACUGAGCCGACUAAUUCAGCAGACCAGAGAAGCAUAAUCACUGGAUAACUGAAAUUCCUAGUCACGGGAUGGCACGAGCUAAAGUUCACUGAAACGGAAGCAGAAGUGUUAAGCGGGUGACCUUUCGAGCGAGAGCUCCUUGCCCUGGAGGGAGAGGACGAGGUCGAGGUGUUCCCCCGCGCCCUUGGGGCCGCCGCCGCCGUCCAAGCCCAGCCUGGCGCACUUGAGCUCGCUCGGCCCCUCUCCGUCGCGAGGCGGCGAUCGGCUCCGCCGCCGCUUCCUCGCUGCGCCGGGGCCCGCGGUAGCGGCAGCCGUCUCCAUGGCGAUGGCCGUCGCGAGAGCGGAAGUGGAGGCUGGCUAGGGUUCUGGGUUUUUGGGACACGAUGCCGGCUAUUCCCUCGUCCCGUUUGAUUUCUCAGUGCUCAAAGACGCGCGCCGUGAAGUCCCCUGCCGCGCCCAACCAGUCUCCACAGCAACAGUACGAAUCUUAAAGCUGGCUAGAACCAGACCGGCUCACGGCGUGGAAUGAGAUAGUCCGGGCCCAACCCAACCCACAAUUCUAGGUCCGGAUUCCAGGUACAAGCUACAAACCCUAACCCAUCCAAAGCAAUGGAGGCUGGAGCGGAAGGGGAGAAGACGAUGACGACGAGGGAGCCGCACGAGGCGUCCCGCCGCGAGCGCGAGGGGCGCGACUCGCACGGGAGGCGCCCCCACUCCUCGUCCAGGUCGCGGAGGGACGACCCCAGGUACCAAUCCGCUGCACCUCCGUCGGGAUUCUCGAUCUGGUUGCGAUUUGGUUUGGAUUAGAAUGCUGGUGUUUGGGGGGAUCGGGAAUUGUUUCUGCGACUUGCAAUUUCUUAAAGUUAAUGCGAUUUGUAUCCUUAUUAACCCAUUUUCGCAAUCGCUUUUGGUAGCCCGAGGAGAAGAAGAGAUGACAGGAGGCAUGAAUCGGAUAGGGCGCACUAUAGAAGUCGAGAUGAAGAAUCUGCGAAGGUGUCGGACCGUGAUCAGAAGCGGAACAGAGAUGCUGAGCAGCGCGAUGAUCCUCCGAAUGCUGAGUCGAAGUCAGUGAGUGAUGCCAAGAAUGACCCGUCCACCAGGCGUGAGAGAUCUCCUAGGGGAACCAAACGGUUUUCAGAGUCGAGAGAGGCUUGGCGGCCUCGGCCUUUCUUUCAGGUUUUUAUCUUUUCUCCAUUUAUAAAAGGGCACAACGCCAAUGGCUUGUGCUCUGUUUCAAAUGGUUUGAUGCUAUAGCCUAUAGUGUGCUUAUACUAUAAUGGCCUGAAUAACCUUUUGCAUUUGCAUUGUUAGAGAGCUGUCAUAUUAAAUUGCUGAACAGCAAGGUAUUUCACGUUCUGUAACCUGACCUGUGCUGGAAAUGUACCUAGCAGAUUAGUGUUAGGUAGAUCCAUUGGUCAAUACUUGCUGGUCAUGCCGAGUGCAUCCUGAUUAUGACAGCUCAGCUCAGGCUGUGCCGAGUGCCAAGUGGCUGCCCUAUCUGUUGAAAAGAACCAACGCCACAUUAUUUACUGCCUUUGUAGGGAGUAUUGUCGAAUAGGCAAAUAGUGCUUUGAUAUCGUUAAUGGCAUUUAGUCUACAUUUGCCAGUAUUCCCUGUUGGUGUUAUUCUGAAUAACUGCUAUGUAUUAAUGUUCAGUCGAAUUCAGGGGCUAGGGAGUAGAGAUGAUUCCAAUGUAAACUUUAUCUGUUAAGAUCAAGAAGUGAUUUGCCAUUUUAUAGAUGUUCCCUAUUCUAAUCAACAACCUUAGAUAAAUUUGAUUUGAGGACAUGAUAGUGCUGUUUCUUGCUGGUUUGAAUGGGAAGUACAUCAGAUACUCGUGUUACUUCUUGCUGGUUUGGAUGAGGAGUACUGAAGUACAUCACUAUUCUUUCUCAUAAGUAGAUUAUGCAAUUGCAACUUAUUUUAGUUUAUAGUUGAAGUUCAACUGUUUAAACAGGCUAAGCUAUUUCUUUCGUACACAUACAGUCUCUUUGUGACUCUUGUUGAUUCUCAUCUCUAGCCUACCCCAACUUGAUUGGGAUUAAAAGGCUUUGUUGUUGCGUACAUAUAGUCUCGUUAUAAAAUGGAUCUGUGUUAUCAUAGCUAGAUAGUAGAAUCGACAUGUGAGCUGAUCAGCUCAAAUUACUGCCCCUUUUUUCCAUACAUAAGUUAUGCACUAUAAUUUAAGCUCUAUUUGUCAUUUUGCAGAAAUCUAUCGCUGGCCUAUUUCAGUGAUUUAAUUUCAUCUAAUGCAGUUUGUGCAUAAAGAAUAAUAAGUUGUUGCUAAAACUAUACAUUUUUCUGUUAAUUUGUCAUACAUAAAUAACAUAUUCCUCCUGAUGUAGUGGGAGUACUUUUAUGACGCAUGCAUUCAAAUGAACUGUUUAUAACAAUGCUAGACUACCUGCACUUGUAUGUACAGCACAAUGAGCGUGGAAGUGCUGGGCAAGGUGGUCGGCGCUAUGACCGUCAGGCUAGUGGUGAGCUGCUUUCUUAGUUCAUACUUUGGGCACUUAUUUUCCAUCUUUUAUGCAUGCUAAUUUAUUAUUGUUGUUCUUAAGGCUACGGAAGACAGAGGGAUCAAAAGGAACAUGAUAGAGAUAAACAAAAGGAUGCGGGGCACAGUUUGCAGGGAAAGGUUGAGCAGGAUGAUGGUGAUUCUACAUGGAGGCAUGAUGGAUUUUUCCAGUUGGAGGAAGAAGCACCCCUGGCCAAGAAGAGGCCACCUUUUCAGGAGAUGAAGAUGCAAGACUCUGCUGCCACUGUUACAGAUCUGGACUCUGGAUCAAGGAAACCUGAUCAGCCUGGGCCCACUUCUGCAAUAAGAGAAGAAAGGAGAAAUUAUCACCCAAGGGGAUUUGGAAAUCAUAGACCAUUUAUAAGGCCAGAUGAUCGAGGUUUCAGACGUGGAUUUCCUGACCACAGGAGUGAAGGCCAGAGAAAUGGGUAUGAUUCAAGGGGAAGAUUUCCUGGUAGGGGAGGAAUGGACAGAGACAGGUUUAUCAACCCAUAUGGUGGGAGAGGCAACAUAUAUCAUCAGACUUCUGGUGAUCAAGAAGAAAAAUGGAAGCAUGACCUCUAUGAUCAGUCAAACAGGAGCCCACCUCCAAAGACCGAGGAAGAGCAGAUUGCUAAAGUUGAAGCGUUGUUGGCGCUGUAGUUAUCUUCUCUAUCCGUCUGGAGUUAUUUGUGAUGUUAGAUCAUCAUGUAUUUGGUUUCAUCUUUGUUGAACGCUGUCCUUUUAUUCUAUAUAUUUUGCGUAUCUAUGGGGAUUAGGACAUCGUUGAG